RNAcentral lists this ribosomal RNA (487 nucleotides) under bacterium 4B2BS37. RNAcentral describes it as "bacterial SSU rRNA". It matches the Rfam family "Bacterial small subunit ribosomal RNA", at positions 380 to 877 of the family's 1533-position model. The record is from RNAcentral.
AGCCUGAUGCAGCAACGCCGCGUGAGGGAUGACGGCCUUCGGGUUGUAAACCUCUUUUAGCAGGGAAGAAGCGAGAGUGACGGUACCUGCAGAAAAAGCGCCGGCUAACUAUGUGCCAGCAGCCGCGGUAAUACGUAGGGCGCAAGCGUUAUCCGGAAUUAUUGGGCGUAAAGAGCUCGUAGGCGGUUUGUCGCGUCUGCUGUGAAAUCCCGAGGCUCAACCUCGGGCCUGCAGUGGGUACGGGCAGACUAGAGUGCGGUAGGGGAGAUUGGAAUUCCUGGUGUAGCGGUGGAAUGCGCAGAUAUCAGGAGGAACACCGAUGGCGAAGGCAGAUCUCUGGGCCGUAACUGACGCUGAGGAGCGAAAGGGUGGGGAGCAAACAGGCUUAGAUACCCUGGUAGUCCACCCCGUAAACGUUGGGAACUAGUUGUGGGGACCAUUCCACGGUUUCCGUGACGCAGCUAACGCAUUAAGUUCCCCGCCUGGG